AAAAUUCCGAACCAAUAUUAACAUUUCGAUAGAAAUAUUGAGAUUAUCGAUAUUUUUGCUAACAACCCAAACCUCUUCAUUAGAUGCACGCACAUUCUUGGGCAUCCCUUCAAAUUGUCAAGCUGUCAAGAACUCAAUCUUUCUACUUGCAAAGCCAAUUGGCUUGUGUUAGAGGAGCUAUUUUUGAGAGUUGGCUUGGUGGUGGAGACGAGGACGAGGACGAGGACGAGGACGGGGAUGAAUAGGUGGGAGUAGGGGUGACCGUCCCUGUCCCCAUCCAUAUGGCUUUAUCAAGUUGGAUAUGUAAAAUUGUUACUAUAUGUAGCUGUUCUGUUUUCUUUAGAUAGAGGAAUCAGCAUCUUUAAAGAGGAUUAGAGGGAAGUGGUGAAUUAAGUGAAUUGCAAUUAUGCGUCUGCACAGUUUUAAUUAGGCUGGAUCACCGAGUGUAAGCACAUGAGUGCACCUCACUAAUUCAAAUUAUCAGAAUAUUUUACAGA
Molecule: long non-coding RNA, 497 nt
Organism: Salvia splendens (bonfire salvia)
Lineage: Eukaryota; Viridiplantae; Streptophyta; Magnoliopsida; Lamiales; Lamiaceae
Exons: 3
Source: RefSeq, a predicted model, not a curated record